Molecule: ribosomal RNA, 306 nt
Filed under: uncultured bacterium
Lineage: Bacteria
Description: partial 16S ribosomal RNA
Rfam family: Bacterial small subunit ribosomal RNA
Source: RNAcentral
GACAGCAGUCGCCACGGUAAUUGGUAAGGUGCAAGCGUUAAUCGGAAUUACUGGGCGUAAAGCGUGCGCAGGCGGUUCUAUAAGACAGAUGUGAAAUCCCCGGGCUCAACCUGGGAACUGCAUUUGUGACUGUAGAGCUGGAGUACGGCAGAGGGGGAUGGAAUUCCGCGUGUAGCAGUGAAAUGCGUAGAUAUGCGGAGGAACACCGAUGGCGAAGGCAAUCCCCUGGGCCUGUACUGACGCUCAUGCACGAAGCGUGGGGAGCAAACAGGAUUAGAUACCCGUGUAGUCCCUGUCUCUUAUACA